AUCAGUAGAAAAGCCAGGGGAGCUGUGUGUCUGGCUGUUAACCAGAAGGUUGGUGGUUCGAGCCCACCCAGGGACA
This is a non-coding RNA of Podarcis lilfordi (Lilford's wall lizard), 76 nucleotides long. NCBI's taxonomy places the organism in Eukaryota, Metazoa, Chordata, Lepidosauria, Squamata, Lacertidae. The record is from the annotation of a GenBank genome assembly.